Fundulus heteroclitus (mummichog) is the source of this 571-nucleotide long non-coding RNA. RefSeq lists it as uncharacterized. The record is from RefSeq and is a predicted model, not a curated record. The transcript has 2 exons. NCBI's taxonomy places the organism in Eukaryota, Metazoa, Chordata, Actinopteri, Cyprinodontiformes, Fundulidae.
AAAAACGGCAACACCUCAACUACAGGUUGCUCAAGUGUGAGCCACCAGAAUUGACAAAGAAUACUGGAUAGGUGUGGAAAUGUCACACGCUGAGGGCUGGGUGCAGGCUGGGUUCUCUCUCGCUCCUCCUCUGCAGGGCAUGACGGGCAGGUGCUCUACAUUAUCGUUGAUUGAGGCACUUCUUAAGGAGCUGCUUUCCAGCAGGAGGGCAUCAGUUCUUACUCGCUUCCAGCGUGGUAUAUGACCAGCCUUGUAUCUAGUUCUGAGUAUCUUUCCGAGCCUUGUUUAACUCCAUGCUUUUGCUCCUUGCCCCAUCUAGAAUCCUGGACUCCCGGGUUAACGCACCUCAAAGUCAGAUCUCCUCGUGUCAAGAUCAGAACUCCCAGACCUCACUCACGGUUAAGUCCUCCUGCUGUGCUCACCUGCCUGUCCACCCUCCAACACCGCAGAACCCAGAACAUCACCCUCCCUGGACUAAAACCCAGCCAAGAACCCAUGGAACCCGGACAAACCGACCAGCCAGAACCACACCCAAGCCUACACCAGUUUUCAAUAAACUUUCUAAACCUAA